RNAcentral lists this ribosomal RNA (497 nucleotides) under uncultured bacterium. Its description in RNAcentral is "partial 16S ribosomal RNA". It matches the Rfam family "Bacterial small subunit ribosomal RNA", at positions 29 to 507 of the family's 1533-position model. The record is from RNAcentral.
AAUGAACGCUGGCGGCGUGCCUAAUACAUGCAAGUCGAGCGAACGGACGAGAAGCUUGCUUUUCUGAUGUUAGCGGCGGACGGGUGAGUAACACGUGCAUAACCUACCUAUAAGACUGGGAUAACUUCGGGAAACCGGAGCUAAUACCGGAUAAUAUUUUGAACCGCAUGGUUCAAAAGUGAAAGACGGUCUUGCUGUCACUUAUAGAUGGAUCCGCGCUGCAUUAGCUAGUUGGUAAGGUAACGGCUUACCAAGGCAACGAUGCAUAGCCGACCUGAGAGGGUGAUCGGCCACACUGGAACUGAGACACGGUCCAGACUCCUACGGGAGGCAGCAGUAGGGAAUCUUCCGCAAUGGGCGAAAGCCUGACGGAGCAACGCCGCGUGAGUGAUGAAGGUCUUCGGAUCGUAAAACUCUGUUAUUAGGGAAGAACAUAUGUGUAAGUAACUGUGCACAUCUUGACGGUACCUAAUCAGAAAGCCACGGCUAACUACGUG